UAAUAAAAUAUAAAUAAAACAAAUUUUUCUCUUUCUCUCUCAUCUUUCCUCUCUCCUAUCUCCAGCUCCAGAACACUAGCUCCAAAACGCUAGCUCUUAUUUAUCGCUCUUCUUUCCUCAGCAUAACUCCAUAGCUCUUCAUAAAUCGAAUAACUGAAGACCUGAAGAACUGAGCUCCACAACUCAAAUUUUAUAAAGUCGAAUUUCUCAAAGAGAUGAAGAGCUGAAGAUACAGAGGUGGGGAUGGAAGAAAUCAAGAGCGGAAGCUGAAGAAAUCAAGUGUUGAGAUUCCUUUCAAUUCUAGUCAUCUGUACAACCGAUUUGUGAAGGGAAAUGGGAGUGAUCAAAUUUGAAGUGGAUGAUGACGAGUUUCCGAACUAUUGUAAAAGUUUGAAUACAUUAUAUUUGAUUUUGUGAAAUAUAUUCAUUGCUAGAAUAUAUUGAACUAUUGUAGUACUUUUUGAACUAUUGUGUACACAUUUAGAAUAUUGAUGUAUAAGUAUAGGUAUGUACACAACACAAACUAUAUAUUUUGAAGUUUAUGGGAAAUCUAUAAAAUUGAAUUACUUAUUA
Molecule: long non-coding RNA, 573 nt
Organism: Solanum lycopersicum (tomato)
Lineage: Eukaryota; Viridiplantae; Streptophyta; Magnoliopsida; Solanales; Solanaceae
Source: RefSeq, a predicted model, not a curated record